UCACCGCUUGCGCGGGCAGUCUCAUUAGAGUCCCCAGCUUUACCUGUUGGCAACUAAUGAUAGGGGUUGCGCUCGUUACGGGACUUAACCCAACACCUCACGGCACGAGCUGACGACAGCCAUGCAGCACCUAGUUUCGUGCUAUUGCUAGCUGCCAUGUUUCUACGGCAUUCACUAACUUUCAAGCCCGGGUAAGGUUCCUCGCGUAUCAUCGAAUUAAACCACAUGCUCCUCCGCUUGUGCGGGCCCCCGUCAAUUCCUUUGAGUUUCAUUCUUGCGAACGUACUUCCCAGGUGGAUUACUUAAUGCUUUCGCUUAGACGCGUGCUGUGUAUCGCACACAUCGAGUAAUCAUCGUUUAGGGUGUGGACUAC
Molecule: unclassified non-coding RNA, 373 nt
Filed under: uncultured Sphingobacteriales bacterium
Lineage: Bacteria; Pseudomonadati; Bacteroidota; Sphingobacteriia; Sphingobacteriales
Description: contains 16S-23S intergenic spacer region
Source: RNAcentral